RNAcentral lists this ribosomal RNA (504 nucleotides) under uncultured Bacteroidota bacterium. RNAcentral describes it as "bacterial SSU rRNA". It matches the Rfam family "Bacterial small subunit ribosomal RNA", at positions 86 to 588 of the family's 1533-position model. Lineage: Bacteria; Pseudomonadati; Bacteroidota. The record is from RNAcentral.
AGCUAGAGACCGGCGCACGGGUGCGUAACGCGUAUGCAAUCUACCUUUUACAGAGGGAUAGCCCAGAGAAAUUUGGAUUAAUACCUCAUAGUAUGUGAGAAUCGCAUGGUUUUCACAUUAAAGUUCCAACGGUAAAAGAUGAGCAUGCGUCCCAUUAGCUAGAUGGUAAGGUAACGGCUUACCAUGGCGACGAUGGGUAGGGGUCCUGAGAGGGAGAUCCCCCACACUGGUACUGAGACACGGACCAGACUCCUACGGGAGGCAGCAGUGAGGAAUAUUGGACAAUGGGCGCAAGCCUGAUCCAGCCAUGCCGCGUGCAGGAUGACGGUCCUAUGGAUUGUAAACUGCUUUUGUACAGGAAGAAACACUCCCUCGUGAGGGAGCUUGACGGUACUGUAAGAAUAAGGAUCGGCUAACUCCGUGCCAGCAGCCGCGGUAAUACGGAGGAUCCAAGCGUUAUCCGGAAUCAUUGGGUUUAAAGGGUCCGUAGGCGGUUUAAUAAGU